RNAcentral lists this ribosomal RNA (1074 nucleotides) under human gut metagenome. RNAcentral's name for it is "bacterial SSU rRNA". It matches the Rfam family "Bacterial small subunit ribosomal RNA", at positions 8 to 1078 of the family's 1533-position model. The record is from RNAcentral.
AGAGUUUGAUCCUGGCUCAGGAUGAACGCUAGCGGCAGGCUUAACACAUGCAAGUCGAGGGGCAGCAUAAUGGAUAGCAAUAUCUAUGGUGGCGACCGGCGCACGGGUGCGUAACGCGUAUGCAACCUACCUUUAACAGGGGGAUAACACUGAGAAAUUGGUACUAAUACCCCAUAAUAUCAUAGAAGGCAUCUUUUAUGGUUGAAAAUUCCGAUGGUUAGAGAUGGGCAUGCGUUGUAUUAGCUAGUUGGUGGGGUAACGGCUCACCAAGGCGACGAUACAUAGGGGGACUGAGAGGUUAACCCCCCACACUGGUACUGAGACACGGACCAGACUCCUACGGGAGGCAGCAGUGAGGAAUAUUGGUCAAUGGACGCAAGUCUGAACCAGCCAUGCCGCGUGCAGGAUGACGGCUCUAUGAGUUGUAAACUGCUUUUGUACGAGGGUAAACGCAGAUACGUGUAUCUGUCUGAAAGUAUCGUACGAAUAAGGAUCGGCUAACUCCGUGCCAGCAGCCGCGGUAAUACGGAGGAUUCAAGCGUUAUCCGGAUUUAUUGGGUUUAAAGGGUGCGUAGGCGGUUUGAUAAGUUAGAGGUGAAAUUUCGGGGCUCAACCCUGAACGUGCCUCUAAUACUGUUGAGCUAGAGAGUAGUUGCGGUAGGCGGAAUGUAUGGUGUAGCGGUGAAAUGCUUAGAGAUCAUACAGAACACCGAUUGCGAAGGCAGCUUACCAAACUAUAUCUGACGUUGAGGCACGAAAGCGUGGGGAGCAAACAGGAUUAGAUACCCUGGUAGUCCACGCAGUAAACGAUGAUAACUCGUUGUCGGCGAUACACAGUCGGUGACUAAGCGAAAGCGAUAAGUUAUCCACCUGGGGAGUACGUUCGCAAGAAUGAAACUCAAAGGAAUUGACGGGGGCCCGCACAAGCGGAGGAACAUGUGGUUUAAUUCGAUGAUACGCGAGGAACCUUACCCGGGCUUGAAAGUUAGCGACGAUUCUUGAAAGAGGAUUUCCCUUCGGGGCGCGAAACUAGGUGCUGCAUGGUUGUCGUCAGCUCGUGCCGUGAGGUGUCGG